Molecule: non-coding RNA, 26 nt
Filed under: Cricetulus griseus (Chinese hamster)
Lineage: Eukaryota; Metazoa; Chordata; Mammalia; Rodentia; Cricetidae
Source: RNAcentral
CAAAGGAGGAUUUAGUAGUAAAUUAA